Ailuropoda melanoleuca (giant panda) is the source of this 334-nucleotide long non-coding RNA. RefSeq lists it as uncharacterized. NCBI's taxonomy places the organism in Eukaryota, Metazoa, Chordata, Mammalia, Carnivora, Ursidae. The record is from RefSeq and is a predicted model, not a curated record. The transcript has 2 exons.
CUUUCAGUAGCUCUCUAGGCCCGGGUACAGGAGGGAGGGAGACGCGCGGAGGUGGGGAGGUGGGUACCCCCAGUCCUUCUACUCUCCUCUCGUGCAGGGGCACCCGGAUUCCCUGGUCCUCUUUUCACCCGACACGCAGACACUCACAGGGGUCCCGGGCCCACCUCUGUCUAGCGGCCGCUCCAGAAAAAGCUGAGGAGGAAUCCCUGGGAGAGCAGAGCAACGCUAUGGAAGCGAGCCGAGAGUCUGACUGACCGGGUGGAGCCGAGCCGCCUGCCGUCUGGAACCGCUCCGUCUACACGGCUACAUGAGAAAUAAACGUGUUUUCUACGUG